This 253-nucleotide ribosomal RNA is filed under the name uncultured bacterium. RNAcentral describes it as "partial 16S ribosomal RNA". It matches the Rfam family "Bacterial small subunit ribosomal RNA", at positions 524 to 776 of the family's 1533-position model. The record is from RNAcentral.
UACGUAGGCAGCGAGCGUUGUUCGGAGUUACUGGGCGUAAAGGGCGCGUAGGCGGCCUACUAAGUCGGACGUGAAAUCCCUCGGCUCAACCGGGGAACUGCGUCCGAUACUGGUGGGCUCGAAUCCGGGAGAGGGAUGUGGAAUUCCAGGUGUAGCGGUGAAAUGCGUAGAUAUCUGGAGGAACACCGGUGGCGAAGGCGGCAUCCUGGACCGGUAUUGACGCUGAUGCGCGAAAGCCAGGGGAGCAAACGGG